UGGGGAAUAUUGCACAAUGGGCGCAAGCCUGAUGCAGCCAUGCCGCGUGUGUGAAGAAGGCCUUCGGGUUGUAAAGCACUUUCAGCGAGGAGGAAGGUGGUGAGCUUAAUACGCUCAUCAAUUGACGUUACUCGCAGAAGAAGCACCGGCUAACUCCGUGCCAGCAGCCGCGGUAAUACGGAGGGUGCAAGCGUUAAUCGGAAUUACUGGGCGUAAAGCGCACGCAGGCGGUUUGUUAAGUCAGAUGUGAAAUCCCCGGGCUCAACCUGGGAACUGCAUUUGAAACUGGCAAGCUAGAGUCUCGUAGAGGGGGGUAGAAUUCCAGGUGUAGCGGUGAAAUGCGUAGAGAUCUGGAGGAAUACCGGUGGCGAAGGCGGCCCCCUGGACGAAGACUGACGCUCAGGUGCGAAAGCGUGGGGCAGCAAACAGGAUUAGAUACCCUGGUAGUCCAGCGCUGUAAAACGAUGUCGAUUUGGAGGUUGUGCCCUUGAGGCGUGGCUUCCGGAGCUAACGCGUUAAAUCGACCGCCUGGGGAGUACGGCCGCAAGGUUAAAAACUCAAAUGAAUUGACGGGGUCAUAGCUGUUUCCU
This 590-nucleotide ribosomal RNA is filed under the name uncultured bacterium. RNAcentral's name for it is "partial 16S ribosomal RNA". It matches the Rfam family "Bacterial small subunit ribosomal RNA", at positions 355 to 1375 of the family's 1533-position model. The record is from RNAcentral.